Molecule: ribosomal RNA, 118 nt
Filed under: Thermosinus carboxydivorans
Lineage: Bacteria; Bacillati; Bacillota; Negativicutes; Selenomonadales; Sporomusaceae
Source: RNAcentral
UCCGGUGUCGAUAGCUACGGGGAUCCACCUGUUCCCAUACCGAACACAGAAGUUAAGCCCGUAAACGCCGAAAGUACUUGGCUGGAGACGGCCUGGGAGGAUAGGUAGACGCCGGUUA